Molecule: long non-coding RNA, 525 nt
Organism: Arvicola amphibius (Eurasian water vole)
Lineage: Eukaryota; Metazoa; Chordata; Mammalia; Rodentia; Cricetidae
Exons: 3
Source: RefSeq, a predicted model, not a curated record
GUAGAAACAGGCUCCACAAUUUCUGGGCCUCCACAAUUAUUCAUCAUGGAAGGAAGCCAAGCUAGGAACUCAAACAGGUCAAGAACCUGAAGGCAGGAUCUGAUGCAGAGACCAUGGAAGAUGGUGUGAGGAAACACUGUGGUAAAGCACAAGAAACUGCCCAGGAGAGGAGACACAAACCACACCAAGAAGAGGAAGAGGCUCAGAGCAAAGCCGAAAAACUUGAGCUUCAAGCAGCUUGAAAAUCUCGGGGGAAGAAUCUGUGUCAGAGCUGGCCCUUGUAGAAGUUCUGGGCCACCCUCAGCAGCACAAACUCAGUGUGACUGUGGUGUUCCUGAUUGAAGCAGAGAGUUCCUGCCUCAAAUUCAGAUCUCUGCUGAGGCUACUGUUUCCUAGAGAAGGUUGGAAGUGAUGUUAUGUGAUUUCCAUGGCCAGAUUUAAAAACUAUGAGGAAAUCGUAAAUGAGAUGUGGCCCCGAUAUUUCUCUCAGUAUAUUUGCUAUUGGUAUGUAAGAAGGCUAUUGAC